RNAcentral lists this ribosomal RNA (447 nucleotides) under uncultured bacterium. RNAcentral describes it as "bacterial SSU rRNA". It matches the Rfam family "Bacterial small subunit ribosomal RNA", at positions 355 to 825 of the family's 1533-position model. The record is from RNAcentral.
UGGGGAAUAUUGGACAAUGGGCGAAAGCCUGAUCCAGCAAUGCCGCGUGAGUGAUGAAGGCCUUAGGGUUGUAAAGCUCUUUUACCCGGGAUGAUAAUGACAGUACCGGGAGAAUAAGCUCCGGCUAACUCCGUGCCAGCAGCCGCGGUAAUACGGAGGGAGCUAGCGUUGUUCGGAAUUACUGGGCGUAAAGCGCACGUAGGCGGCUUUGUAAGUCAGAGGUGAAAGCCUGGAGCUCAACUCCAGAACUGCCUUUGAGACUGCAUCGCUUGAAUCCAGGAGAGGUGAGUGGAAUUCCGAGUGUAGAGGUGAAAUUCGUAGAUAUUCGGAAGAACACCAGUGGCGAAGGCGGCUCACUGGACUGGUAUUGACGCUGAGGUGCGAAAGCGUGGGGAGCAAACAGGAUUAGAUACCCCGGUAGUCCCUGAGCGGGCUGGCAAGGCGCAU